GGAGAAAUGGCUCAAUGGUUAAGGGCACUGGCUGCUCUUCCAGAGGUCCUGAGUUCAAUUCCCAGCCUCCA
This 71-nucleotide transfer RNA is filed under the name Rattus norvegicus (Norway rat). It matches the Rfam family "tRNA". Rfam says of the family: Transfer RNA (tRNA) molecules are approximately 80 nucleotides in length. Their secondary structure includes four short double-helical elements and three loops (D, anti-codon, and T loops). The record is from Rfam by way of RNAcentral. Lineage: Eukaryota; Metazoa; Chordata; Mammalia; Rodentia; Muridae.